RNAcentral lists this long non-coding RNA (197 nucleotides) under Mustela putorius furo (domestic ferret). RNAcentral describes it as "lncRNA (ENSMPUG00000026007.1)". The record is from RNAcentral. Lineage: Eukaryota; Metazoa; Chordata; Mammalia; Carnivora; Mustelidae.
GGGUCAGAACAGGACCCUACCCUGGAGACUAUAAAAUGACCAAAGAGCAGGGAAGGGAGGGGCACUCAUCUUUGGAAAAUGUAGUCAGUUCUAUUCUGCAAAGCCUUCCAUUUACUUCUUAUGACCAGCCCCUUUAUUCAACAACCAUCAAUAACAACAGCAAUGGAAGGAACGACCUGAGGCUUAGAACAGACUGA